This is a transfer RNA of Smittium culicis, 82 nucleotides long. It matches the Rfam family "tRNA". From Rfam's summary of the family: Transfer RNA (tRNA) molecules are approximately 80 nucleotides in length. Their secondary structure includes four short double-helical elements and three loops (D, anti-codon, and T loops). Further hydrogen bonds mediate the characteristic L-shaped molecular structure. tRNAs have two regions of fundamental functional importance: the anti-codon, which is responsible for specific mRNA codon recognition, and the 3' end, to which the tRNAs corresponding amino acid is attached (by aminoacyl-tRNA synthetases). tRNAs cope with the degeneracy of the genetic code in two manners: having more than one tRNA (with a specific anti-codon) for a particular amino acid; and 'wobble' base-pairing, i.e. permitting non-standard base-pairing at the 3rd anti-codon position. NCBI's taxonomy places the organism in Eukaryota, Fungi, Kickxellomycota, Harpellomycetes, Harpellales, Legeriomycetaceae. The record is from Rfam.
GUCGGUGUGUCCGAGUGGUUAAGGAGAUAGAUUAGAAAUCUAUUGGGCUCUGCCCGCACAGGUUCAAAUCCUGUCGCCGACG